RNAcentral lists this ribosomal RNA (253 nucleotides) under uncultured bacterium. RNAcentral describes it as "partial 16S ribosomal RNA". It matches the Rfam family "Bacterial small subunit ribosomal RNA", at positions 524 to 776 of the family's 1533-position model. The record is from RNAcentral.
UACAGAGGCCACAAGCGUUAGGCGGAAUCACUGGGCUUAAAGCGCGUGUAGGCGGAUGUCUAAGUACCUUGUGAAAUCCCACGGCUCAACCGUGGAACUGCUUGGUAUACUGGAUGUCUUGAGGUGUGCAGGGGCGACCGGAACAGACGGUGGAGCGGUGAAAUGCGUAGAUAUCGUCUGGAACGCCUGUGGUGAAGACGGGUCGCUGGGCACAUACUGACGCUGAGACGCGAAAGCCAGGGGAGCAAACGGG